RNAcentral lists this ribosomal RNA (791 nucleotides) under Acinetobacter radioresistens. RNAcentral describes it as "bacterial SSU rRNA". It matches the Rfam family "Bacterial small subunit ribosomal RNA", at positions 1 to 779 of the family's 1533-position model. The record is from RNAcentral. Lineage: Bacteria; Pseudomonadati; Pseudomonadota; Gammaproteobacteria; Moraxellales; Moraxellaceae.
GGGAAAGGGAUUGGAGAUUUUAGAGUUUGGAUCAUGGCUCAGAUUGAACGCUGGCGGCAGGCUUAACACAUGCAAGUCGAGCGGAUGAAGGUAGCUUGCUACUGGAUUCAGCGGCGGACGGGUGAGUAAUGCUUAGGAAUCUGCCUAUUAGUGGGGGACAACGUUCCGAAAGGAGCGCUAAUACCGCAUACGUCCUACGGGAGAAAGCAGGGGACCUUCGGGCCUUGCGCUAAUAGAUGAGCCUAAGUCGGAUUAGCUAGUUGGUAGGGUAAAGGCCUACCAAGGCGACGAUCUGUAGCGGGUCUGAGAGGAUGAUCCGCCACACUGGGACUGAGACACGGCCCAGACUCCUACGGGAGGCAGCAGUGGGGAAUAUUGGACAAUGGGGGGAACCCUGAUCCAGCCAUGCCGCGUGUGUGAAGAAGGCCUUUUGGUUGUAAAGCACUUUAAGCGAGGAGGAGGCUACCUAGAUUAAUACUUUAGGAUAGUGGACGUUACUCGCAGAAUAAGCACCGGCUAACUCUGUGCCAGCAGCCGCGGUAAUACAGAGGGUGCGAGCGUUAAUCGGAUUUACUGGGCGUAAAGCGUGCGUAGGCGGCCAAUUAAGUCAAAUGUGAAAUCCCCGAGCUUAACUUGGGAAUUGCAUUCGAUACUGGUUGGCUAGAGUAUGGGAGAGGAUGGUAGAAUUCCUAGGUGUAGCGGUGAAAUGCGUAGAGAUCUGGAGGAAUACCGAUGGCGAAGGCAGCCAUCUGGCCUAAUACUGACGCUGAGUACGAAAGAAGCAAGGGUUU